Molecule: ribosomal RNA, 815 nt
Filed under: uncultured bacterium
Lineage: Bacteria
Description: bacterial SSU rRNA
Rfam family: Bacterial small subunit ribosomal RNA
Source: RNAcentral
GUAAGCGUUCGAUAGGCGGUUUGUUAAGUUAGAUGUGAAAGUUUGGCUCCCUGGUAACUGCAUUUAAAACUGGCAAACUCGAGAAAGGGGGGGGAAGUGGAAUUUCAGGUGUAGCAGUGAAAUGCGUAGAGAUCUGAAGGAACACCAGUGGCGAAGGCGACUUCCUGGACUAAAACUGACGCUGAGGAACGAAAGCGUGGGUAGCAAACGGGAUUAGAUACCCCGGUAGUCCACGCCGUAAACGAUGUCAACUAGCCGUUGGGCCUAUAUACAGGUUUAGUGGCGGAGCUAACGUAUUAAGUUGACCGCCUGGGGAGUACGGCCGCAAGGUUAAAACUCAAAUGAAUUGACGGGGGCCCGCACAAGCGGUGGAGCAUGUGGUUUAAUUCGAUGCAACGCUAAGAACCUUACCUACCCUUGACAUCCAGAGAAUCUGUUAGAGAUAGUAGAGUGCCUUCGGGAACUCUGAGACAGGUGCUGCAUGGCUGUCGUCAGCUCGUGUCGUGAGAUGUUGGGUUAAGUCCCGUAACGAGCGCAACCCUUAUCCUUAGUUGCUAGCAGGUCAUGCUGAGAACUCUAAGGAGACUGCCGGUGAUAAACCCGGAGGAAGGUGGGGACGACGUCAAGUCAUCAUGGCCCCUUUAUGGGUAGGGCUACACACGUGCUACAAUGGUCGGUACAGAGGGCCGCAAACUCGUGAGAGUAAGCAAAUCCCAGAAAGCCGAUCUUAGUCCGGAUUUGCAGUCUGCAACUCCGACUGCAUGAAGUUGGAAUCGCUAGUAAUCCGCGAAUCAGAAUGUCGCGGUGAAUACGUU